RNAcentral lists this transfer RNA (94 nucleotides) under Cutaneotrichosporon oleaginosum. RNAcentral describes it as "Trichosporon oleaginosus tRNA". It matches the Rfam family "tRNA". Rfam says of the family: Transfer RNA (tRNA) molecules are approximately 80 nucleotides in length. Their secondary structure includes four short double-helical elements and three loops (D, anti-codon, and T loops). The record is from Rfam by way of RNAcentral. Lineage: Eukaryota; Fungi; Basidiomycota; Tremellomycetes; Trichosporonales; Trichosporonaceae.
GGCGAGAUGGCCGAGCGGUCUAAGGCGCUGUGUUAAGGUGUUCUCUACGAGCAUCCGCAGUCUUCGGACGUGGGUUCGAAUCCCACUCUCGUCA